Molecule: ribosomal RNA, 496 nt
Filed under: uncultured bacterium
Lineage: Bacteria
Description: partial 16S ribosomal RNA
Rfam family: Bacterial small subunit ribosomal RNA
Source: RNAcentral
GAUGAACGCUGGCGGCGUGCCUAAUACAUGCAAGUCGAGCGAACGGACGAGAAGCUUGCUUCUCUGAUGUUAGCGGCGGACGGGUGAGUAACACGUGGAUAACCUACCUAUAAGACUGGGAUAACUUCGGGAAACCGUAGCUAAUACCGGAUAAUAUUUUGAACCGCAUGGUUCAAAAGUGAAAGACGGUCUUGCUGUCACUUAUAGAUGGAUCCGCGCUGCAUUAGCUAGUUGGUAAGGUAACGGCUUACCAAGGCAACGAUGCAUAGCCGACCUGAGAGGGUGAUCGGCCACACUGGAACUGAGACACGGUCCAGACUCCUACGGGAGGCAGCAGUAGGGAAUCUUCCGAAAUGGGCGAAAGCCUGACGGAGCAACGCCGCGUGAGUGAUGAAGGUCUUCGGAUCGUAAAACGCUGUUAUUAGGGAAGAACAUAUGUGUAAGUAACUGUGCACAUCUUGACGGUACCUAAUCAGAAAGCCACGGCUAACUACGU